AAAAUAUUGAAAAAUAAAUUUGUGACGAUAAAAUUCACAUUUCCAAAAAGAAAAGGGUAUAGUUGGCAAUGAGUGAAAAGUUGGGGAGAAUUUUGUCAUACAAAGAAAACCUGCAAUACGUCUCGUAAGAGAAGCAAGCAGCUUUUCUGCUUGGCCUUUGUGAUUCUUGCUCUGCGUGGUGUAUCCCUCAACGAAACUGAAGGAUUAUUUUGAAUGAUCAGAGAAAUUCCCUCUGUUAGGGUUUGGAUAUGAGGGUGCUGCAUCGUCUGAGCUUGUGGAUUGUUUCCACUUGAAACUAUGCAAAUUGAGCAUUUGGUUCAGUUCCUUGUUAGAUUCUAAUGCCACGCUAGAGUAUUUUUAUCUUUAUAUUCAUUUUAAGGAGCCUUAUUUGAUAACAAGGAACAAAGAAUGUAUGGUAGAGCAGGUCUUGAACGAUUUAAAAAGGCUCAAUCUUCAGACCCAUUCUCAGUCACUGUCAAUUCAGCUCCCAAAACCACUACCCAACAUGCUUCUAAACCAGUUAUCCAUCCCUCAGUUCAGUAUUUGCAGUCUCAGACACAAACCCAAUACGAGUACCAACCCUAUGUUCCUCAAAAGCCAACAGGGCUUGAGGCAGGACCAUUGGUUGGGCAGACUCAGCAGGUGACCCACGUUGGAGGGGGGCAGUCAACUUGGCAGCCACCAGAUUGGGCAAUUGAGCCUCGACCAGGAGUUUAUUAUCUUGAGGUUUUGAAGGAUGGAGAGGUACUUGAUCGGAUUAAUCUGGAUAGAAGGAGGCACAUAUUUGGGAGGCAAUCUCAUACAUGUGAUUAUGUACUUGACCAUCAGUCUGUUUCACGCCAACAUGCUGCUGUCAUUCCUCACAAAAAUGGAAGGUUAGAUCUUUCCUUAAUUUUCUAUGAUGUUGCAUUACUUGGCCUUGUAAUUGGAUCUUUGCUCUACAAUUCUGUGAUUUUUUUUUGGGAAACCUUAUUGUAAUCUUUUGCUUAGUUACUAUUUUGUAAAUUACGUAUCUUAAUUAUUUUUAACAAUGUAACAUAAAUUAGAUUUGUUCACUAAUUUUUCAUUUUGAGGGUUGAUGCUUCUUUUUAAGCAUUAAGACUAUCAAGUUAUAGUUGAAAAAUGUUUAUCAAUUGAAUGGUCACUAUUAACAAUUGAUUAGGCUACUUUAAAUCUUCCCAAGUUACUUAUCCACCACCUUCAGUGAUGACAUUUCCCCCUAAAUUUCCACUUGUCAAGACUUUGAGAAGAGUCUUUUUCGUGCUUGGAUAUGGUUUAGCUUUCUCAUGCUAAAAGUUUCUUUGUAAUUCAUAUGUUUCGUUAACUUCUGCAGCGUAUUUGUAAUUGAUUUGGGGUCUGCACAUGGUACAUUUGUGGCAAAUGAACGGUUGACCAAAGAUACCCCUGUUGAGCUUGAAGUGGGCCAAUCUUUGCGGUUUGCUGCCUCAACACGAACUUAUAUCUUGAGAAAGAACGAUGCUGCUCUUUUCCCACGUCCUCCACCACCUUCGGAGAUUAAUCUGCCACCACCUCCUGAUCCAUCUGAUGAAGAAGCCGUUGUUGCUUAUAAUACUCUUUUAAAUCGAUAUGGUCUUGGCGGCCCUGAUCUACUGUCUAGAUCUAGCAAAUCUGGUAGCUCAGCAAGUGGUAGAGAUGACAGCCAGCAGUCUGGCAGAGCCUCAAAGAGAAUCAAAAAAGCAAGAGUAGCUUUCAGAGAUCAAGUUGGGGGAGAAUUAGUUGAAGUUGUUGGGAUUUCAGAUGGUGUAGAUGUAGAAACGGAGCCUGGUCCAAUAGGUGUAAAAGAAGGAAGUCUUGUUGGAAAAUAUGAAUCCCUUAUACAGACUACAGUAAUACCGAAAGGUAAGGAACAAUUGCCAGCAAAGGAAAACAAUGCUUCCCAAACAGGUGUUACGAAUAAAUUGCAAGAAGUCUUGAAUAAAGUCAAGACUGUUCCCAAAAGUGGUGUGCAUGAUGACCUUUAUGGAGAAGCAUUUUCUGGCAAAUUGGGGUCUUCCUGGGCGUAUCCUAUGGUUACUUCUGGCGGCAAACUGGAUCCUUCAACUAAGGAUGACAAACAAAAGGAUAUUGCUGCUUCGAGUGGAAAACUAGAGAACAACUCGAACUUGUACAACGAUGACAAUGAUGAUGAUUUAUUUGGUGACUAAUUAAAUAGUGUUGGAAGGAUGCUGUGUUGUUCUUUCAUAGGUGCUUUGGAGAGCAGCAGCCAGUGGACAUAAGAGACCACUGGUUCCUUUGUAGAUGGGAAAUUUUGUUGUAAUUCGUUGGAAUAUCUUUGUAGUGGAAGACCACCCAAUUUGGGAUUUUUAAUUUACAACUCAGUUACAUUUGGACUGGUUUCGAACUUAUUGUUUUAAGCUGGAAGAAAUGAAAUUGAAUUGACUUGUGGU
Molecule: unclassified non-coding RNA, 2408 nt
Filed under: Hevea brasiliensis (rubber tree)
Lineage: Eukaryota; Viridiplantae; Streptophyta; Magnoliopsida; Malpighiales; Euphorbiaceae
Source: RNAcentral